RNAcentral lists this long non-coding RNA (2205 nucleotides) under Capsicum annuum. RNAcentral's name for it is "long non-coding RNA (CANN_LNC007525)". Lineage: Eukaryota; Viridiplantae; Streptophyta; Magnoliopsida; Solanales; Solanaceae. The record is from RNAcentral.
UCCACUGUUUCCUUUUGGCCCUUUAUGCUCUUCUUUGUCAUAAAUCUACCUAAACACUGGAAACAACAAAAUACCAAGAUGAGGCACCACUAUCCUUUUAGUAUUAAAUAUCUUUUUUCCAAAUUUAUAUGAGAAGAAAGAAUAGAUGAUGAACAAGUUGCCUUGAGCUUUGAGAUAUCUGGCAGGUAUGAGGGAAAUGAAGAGGGUCUAUGGCUGCAUUGUGUAAAAUAUUCAGGAUCUGCGUACUCUCUACCUUUCUAGACCUCACUUGUGGGAUUUCAUCGGGAAUGUUGUUAGUUAGGGAAAACAAGUGGAUGGGAAGGAUUAGUCUUCGAUCUUUUUUUUUUUUUAAUUCUCAAAUUUCAAUCCUAGAGAGUAUGUGAGAACUUCAGUACAUUCGUGUUGCACUGCCUGGAGUAAGGCACAAGAGUGAGUACUUUUAAAUGAAUUUCUCUGCUGUCUAUUUUGUGGUGUUGUUGUUACUAUGUCUAUUUUCUAAAGUGGGUAUUUUGCCAGGACCAGUUGAUCCUAGAUUAUAUUUCCCACAGUUUAGGGCAGAUGGCAUUCUGAAAGUCAUAGUCUUGAAAUACCCAAUACCUCUGGUUUCAGCUGAAGGUUUGCCUGAGCACUGGUUCAAUGGCUCUUUCCCAGUUUCUUGAAUUGUAGCUGGUCCGCAUUCCCCUAAGAAACAAGAAGCUUAUUUAUUUUGUAGCUUAUGUCAUGAAUAUAGCAUAGCGUUAGAAACAACUUCCCAACUUCUAGAGGGCCAUAACUGUAAACAAUGAAUUUUGUAUCACAUGUUUCAUUGGAAAUUUUGUCAAUGCUUGCUUGAUUUUCAAUUGUGUGUGUACUUUUAUGGGAAAAAAACUUGGUAUCGACAUCUUUUCCAAUCUUUAUCAUGGUCUAUGUUUUCCUAUGUCUAUUAUCAUUUAUCAGCUUAAUGUGAGUCCAUUAUUUACCGGAUCAAUACUGGGAAAACCAUGAAAAAAGUAACUGGGCAAAAUUUUUAAGAAUUCAACUACAUGAUAUCAAUCUAAAGCUGUUGAUAUCUCGAGUGAGCUCUAGUCUAUAAAUUUAUUUCAACAAAGUUUUGUAUGCAAAUUUUGCCCUCCCGGGACUUUUGUAAGAUGAAACAUCAUACUCUCAGAUGACAUUUGAAAGAUAGAAAAGAGUUGCAAGCUAUAUUGAAAAUCACUUCACAUAAAACACCAACAACUCUUAUGUCUUUAAGUAUUAAUGCUACAAAUGCUAGCUGAAAUGUUGGUAUAAGAUUUCUACUCAAUUCAUUCUUGAAACAAUUAUUAGACUUAGAAAUAAUCCACAAAACAGAAUUCAUUAGACUUUAAACGGGUUAGGAAUUUUAAGAGUAUCCACUUAAGUUUGAUUACGAGUUGGACAUUGGUGCCUUUUUGAACUUCCAUAGUUCUUCUCCCACUUUACUUUGAAUGUGCUUGUCCAUAGUUCCUUUUGCUCUACAAGUUGGUGCGAUGUUUGAGAUCUACGGGUACACCGUUCAACUGUUUGCUCCAAUGAAAGUGUCACCAUGGCUAGCCUCGAGCUUUCUUUAGAAGGCCGCUGAAAGAUUUGUUGUCAACACUCCCCAACUUUUGCAGAAACGUUACUCACAGCAACGUUUUUAUCUGAAAAUGUGACUGAUGAUUACGAUUUUAAGGCGAAACUUCGGUCAAAAAAAUUGAUGGGAGUUGAUUUGAUAGAAUUGUUAUUCGGAGUAACGUUUUACAGCUAAAACGUUAUUGUUAAUAACGUAUUUAAUGUCAGAUUUAUACAAAAAAAUUUAUGUGGCAGAGCUACAGAGAAACGUUACUGAUGGUAACAUCUUAUGUCUAAAACGUUACUGACAGUAACGUUUUAUGUGAAAACGUUACUGUGAGUAACGUUUUCUAUUCUAACGUCUAACAACAAUUCCGUUUGAGCCGUUAAGUUUUCUUAAAACAUAAAACGUUAUUGGGAACCACGUUUAUAUUACUUUUGUAAAAAUUUUAAAAAACAUAUUAUUUUGGUGAAUUGAUUAAAAAAAUAGCUUAUUUCCGUCAAGGAUUUCUGUCUUUUGUCAUCUAGUAAUUCGUUCUACGUUUGGUUUAUUUCUAAUUCUUAUACUAACUCUCUCUCUCUUGUGGUUUUAUGUAGGCGAAUGGAGCUUCUGACAUAUAGUGGAUGUGAAGUCUGCAUCAUUUUGCCUCGGGU